This 274-nucleotide ribosomal RNA is filed under the name uncultured bacterium. RNAcentral's name for it is "partial 16S ribosomal RNA". It matches the Rfam family "Bacterial small subunit ribosomal RNA", at positions 523 to 796 of the family's 1533-position model. The record is from RNAcentral.
AUACGGAGGGUGCAAGCGUUGUUCGGAAUCACUGGGCGUAAAGGGCGCGCAGGCGGUUUGGUAAGUCAGAUGUGAAAGCCCACGGCUCAACCGUGGAAGUGCAUUUGAAACUGUCAGACUUGAGUACCAGAGGGGAAAGUGGAAUUCCCGGUGUAGAGGUGAAAUUCGUAGAUAUCGGGAGGAAUACCGGUGGCGAAGGCGACUUUCUGGCUGGAUACUGACGCUGAGGCGCGAAAGCGUGGGGAGCAAACAGGAUUAGAUACCCGAGUAGUCC